This 3360-nucleotide long non-coding RNA is filed under the name Marmota monax (woodchuck). The record is from RNAcentral. Lineage: Eukaryota; Metazoa; Chordata; Mammalia; Rodentia; Sciuridae.
CUGAUUGCACGUUCAGGCAACCAGAUAGGACGGAAAGCACCUUCUGGAAAAAUACAAGCAUGACCUCUGCCCCACAUAAUCACUGGAUCUGGGCCUUUCCAUUGACCAGUCUGUAAGUCUUUCCACAAAACUCUGCCUAAAGGGCCUGUUGUUGUGGAAGACAUAUGUCUCUCAGCUGCAGUGUGACCUUCUGCGUCACAAUUUUAAAAAAUUUAAAACAAACAAGGCAUGGUUGAGGCUAUUUUGGGGAGUCAUAAACCUAUUCCCCCCCUUUUAAUUUUUGUAAUUGCAGCUUAAUAGAUAAAUGAGCUCGUUCCACAUUGUCUUGACCUUGGGGGUUAUAAGGAAUUCCUGUUUUAUGAUUAAUUUGAAAUUCUUGGCAAAAUUGUUGAAAAGAAGAGCUUGCGUAAGCUGGUGCAUUAUCUGUUUUAAUCUGUAAAGGGCAUCCUAACACAGCAAAGGCUGCUAGGCAAUGAGAAAUUACCUGUUGAGUAUUUUCUUUUGUACGUGCUGUAUCAAAAAUAAAUCUGGAAUGUGUAUCAACUAUCACAUGUACAUAACAUUGCUUACCGAAUUGAGGAAUAUGAGUUACAUCCAUUUGCCAUAUUUGAUUUGGUUUUAAUCCUCAGGGAUUUACCCCUGAUGGCAGAGAUGGAGAGUGAAUAACACACUUAGGGCAGUGACUUACAAUUUGACGAGCUUGUUCUCUGGUAAUAUUAAAUUUUUUACAUAAGCUAGAAGCAUUCUGAUGAUGUAAGGAAUGUGAGGCUUGUGCACUAUCAUAUGGAGACAUCUGUUGACACACAGCUACUAAUUUAUCAAUCUUGUCAUUAUCUGAAGCUAAAGGUCCUGGAAGAUUAGUGUGAGCCCCUAUGUGUCCUAUGAAACAUGGGUAUUUUUGCAUUUGUAUUGCCUUUUGUAGAUUAUGAAAUAAUUUAAAUCACUCUUGUGAUGAAGUAUAUCCAAUAACUGAAGUUUCAAUAUUUUUGGUAACUCUGACUGCAUAUGAGCUGUCAGAAUAAAUAUUAGUAGGCUCAUUUGUAAAGUAAUUUAAGGCACAGAUGAGAGCUUGAAGCUCCGCUCUUUGGGCAGAAGUAUAUGAAGUUUGUAUUACCUCUAUGUGAACAUGACUAUAAAAACCUGCUUUACCUGAGCUUGAACCAUCAGUGAACACCGAUAGGGCUCCAUCUAUGGGCUGGGCAAGUACAAUUUUUGGAGAAAUAAGCGGUGUUAAUGAUGCAAAUUUAAUACUUUUAUCACGAGGGUAAUAACUAUCUAUCUGACCAGGAAAAUCAGCAAAAGCUAUCUGCCAUAAGCUAGAAGUUUGAAAAAGCCAAUUAUUUUGUUGAACAGAAAAUGGAAUAAUUAUAAUAUCAGGUUCAGAUCCAAUUAAUUGUAAAACUCUCAUUCUACCUUUAAUUACUAAUUGAGCAAUAGAAUCAUGAAAAGGAAUUAAUGUUUUUGGGGGGGAGUGGGCUAAAUAAAUCCACUCAAUAACUCCCAAUCUUUGCCAUAUGGCUCCCAUUGGUGUAUACACAGUUGGAAAUAUUAAUAAAUACACUAUUUCUUUAGGAUUAACUCUAGUAAGUUGUGCAUUUUUAAUUGCACUUUCAACCUUUUUUAAAGCUUUUCUAGCCUCUAUUGUCAGCUGAGGAGGAGAGGUUGGGGAAGGAUUUCCUUGUAAUAUCUGACUUAAAUCAGAAGUAGUUAGUUUUAAGGAUGGCCUCAGCCAAUUAAUAUCUCCUAAUAAUUUUUGAAAGUCAUUAAGGAUAUGUAACUCCUUAACCUUUAUCUGAAGAUUUUGAGGAUGGAUUGUGCGUCCUUGAAUUAUCUGACCUAAAUAUUGAAAGGGAGGCAUUUUUUGUAUCUUUUGAGGAGCAAUGCAUAAGCCCAUUGCUGUAAGUGAAGCCUCUGAGUAAAAAUUUCUGAAAGUACUUCUGGAUUAGCAUGAGCCAAUAAUAUAUCAUCCAUAAAAUGAAUAAUAUAUACAUCAGGAACGUUAUUUCUUAUAGGAACUAUUGCCUGACCUACAUAUUUUUGGCAUAAGGUAGAACUAUUACGCAUUCCUUGGGGGAGGACCUUCCGGCAAUAUCUUUUAACAGGUUGUUUAAAAUUAAUUGCUGGGACAGUGGAGGCAAAUUUUUCACAAUCUUCAGGAUGUAACCUUAUUGAGAUCUAUUACCAUCAAGCUAUAGUUUAAAGGGAUGGCUGUGGGGGAAGGAAGUCCUGGCUGUAAUGAUCCCAUAGGCUGAAUUGCAUGAUUUAUCGCCCUUAAAUCCUGUAGUAAUCUCCAAUUACCUGACAUUUUUCUUAAUAACAAAAAUGGGGGUGUUCCAAGGACUAAGUGUUCAUUCCAUAUGACCAGCCUGAAGUUGUUCCUCAACUAACCUAUAAAUUAUCUUAAGUUUUUCCCCUGAGAUGGGCCACUGAGAAAUCCAUAUAGGCUCCUCUGUAAGCCAGGUUAUCUUUUCAGCUGUCUUUUGGAUUGGGGAAACACUCAGGUCCCUAGUAAAAAUUUUGGUUUGUAGUAUUUACUAAUCUCUGUCGAGGAGGCUGAUUUGCAAGCAGAUACUCUCUUUGAAAGAUUCCCUUAUUAUCUCCAGGAAGAAACCCUUGAUUAACUUCCUCAAUUGAUCUUGUUUGUUAAUUUGCUCAAAAACUGGGAAAAGUUGGAAUUCACUGAUAUCCUCCCCGGCUUCUUGUGCUUUUCUAAUACCUCAUUGGAACCAGGUAAGAAAAGUCAUUGCUAACUCAGAGUACCUGUUAAAUUUUGUCUUUUUAACAGACAAUGGCUGAAUUCUAAUAGCCUGGGCAGGCGGUGUUAAACACAGCCUGUUGAAAUUUCCCUUAAGUCCUGGAUUUCAUUGUCCGAUUCCUCUCCCUCAGGCUACGACUCUUCGGUAGAAUCUCCGCUGUAGCCAUCUUGAACCUGGGCUUGUAAGCCACGUGGGAGAGAAGGGCUUUCUAUCUCUCUAGGAAUCUCUUCCAGACUUUCCUCUCUGGGAGGAGAACCCUCUAUCUCUCCGGAGGCCUCCUCUCUUUGACCUUCAUCUCUAUGAUCUUCCUUCCUACUCUGGCUCUGUUCAGGCAAGCUUACAUUUUUUACUUUUGGUUUCCCUUUUUAUCUUUAACCGGCUUAAAGGAAAGGAGAUUUCCUUAGCCUCAGGCAGUUUUUCCAUUUGAAUAGACUUAAUGGCUCUCUGAAUACCUUUCAAUAGAUCUUCAGGGGGUCAUGGACUAUGGCCCAUGUAAUCAAAGAGACAAAUUUCUAAAGCAGUCCAAACCUUUUCUAUAUUUUCAAAAUUUCCAGGUAAUUCAUCAGAAAGGCAGAUUCUAUGUAAUUUCCUUCCUAAUUUGUCC